This 109-nucleotide ribosomal RNA is filed under the name Salmo trutta (river trout). Lineage: Eukaryota; Metazoa; Chordata; Actinopteri; Salmoniformes; Salmonidae. The record is from RNAcentral.
UCUUAUGGCCAUACCAGCCUGAGUACUCCUGAUCUCGGAAGCUAAGUAUGGUCGGGCCUGGUUAGUAUUUGGAUGGGAGACCGCUUGGGAAUACCAGGUGCUGUGAGCA